GUAAGGGAUAUUGGACAAUGGGGGAAACCCUGAUCCAGCAACGCCGCGUGGGCGAUGAAGGUCUUCGGAUCGUAAAGCCCUUUUCUGCGGGAAGAGGAAGGACGGUACCGCAGGAAUAAGUCUCGGCUAACUACGUGCCAGCAGCCGCGGUAAAACGUAGGAGGCUAGCGUUAUCCGGAUUUACUGGGCGUAAAGCGCGUGCAGGCGGUUCUGUAAGUUGGGUGUGAAAUCUCCUGGCUCAACUAGGAGGGGUCGUCCAAAACUACAGGGCUUGAGGGCAGGAGAGGGAAGUAGAAUUCCCGGUGUAGCGGUAAUAUGCGCAGAUAUCGGGAGGAAUACCAGUGGCGAAGGCGGCUUCCUGGCCUGUACCUGACGCUCAGACGCGAAAGCUAGGGGAGCGAACGGGAUUAGAUACCCUUGUAGUCC
RNAcentral lists this ribosomal RNA (426 nucleotides) under uncultured bacterium. RNAcentral's name for it is "bacterial SSU rRNA". It matches the Rfam family "Bacterial small subunit ribosomal RNA", at positions 354 to 796 of the family's 1533-position model. The record is from RNAcentral.